UGUCCAGCAUAAAUGAUGUGAGAAUUAGUCGGCAAGGAUUCGAGAAAAGGGUGGUUCCCAAGAUUUGCAGCUUUGGCUUUCUAAUGCACCACCUAUUGGAGAUCAAUACACUCUUCUUGCACGAGCUGGACGACAGGUACAAGAAAUACAACUGAUAACUUCACUGGAUCAAGAUGGAAUCAAAAAGGCAUUGCAGCAUGUUUUAGAACGUGUUCCGUAAAUCUCUGUUAUUGCUAUCGAAGCCUAAAAGAAAGGGAGAAUUCUGUGAUUGGUGAUGACCAAUUUUCCAUGUCAUAUGCAGUAUUUAUUGUACGUCAGAUAACAUAAUCAAGUGACACACAUGUAUAUAGUUUUACCAUUUUUUACGUCGAGGAAUUUUGGGAAUUUCCAUGCCCAAUUUUUUUUUGGGAAAAAAAAUGGUCAGAUAACUAA
This is a non-coding RNA of Erythranthe guttata (spotted monkey flower), 432 nucleotides long. The record is from RefSeq and is a predicted model, not a curated record. Lineage: Eukaryota; Viridiplantae; Streptophyta; Magnoliopsida; Lamiales; Phrymaceae.